RNAcentral lists this microRNA precursor (436 nucleotides) under Cloning vector AAV-hSyn-EGFP-8X2C. The record is from RNAcentral. RNAcentral also lists the same sequence under 1 other name.
AAAGAGACCGGUUCACUGUGACAGUAAAAGAGACCGGUUCACUGUGAGAAUGAAAGAGACCGGUUCACUGUGAUCGGAAAAGAGACCGGUUCACUGUGAGCGGCCUUAAAGAGACCGGUUCACUGUGACAGUAAAAGAGACCGGUUCACUGUGAGAAUGAAAGAGACCGGUUCACUGUGAUCGGAAAAGAGACCGGUUCACUGUGAGCGGCCUUGAAACCCAGCAGACAAUGUAGCUCAGUAGAAACCCAGCAGACAAUGUAGCUGAAUGGAAACCCAGCAGACAAUGUAGCUUCGGAGAAACCCAGCAGACAAUGUAGCUGCGGCCUUGAAACCCAGCAGACAAUGUAGCUCAGUAGAAACCCAGCAGACAAUGUAGCUGAAUGGAAACCCAGCAGACAAUGUAGCUUCGGAGAAACCCAGCAGACAAUGUAGCU